GGAAAGGUGGCAGAGUGGUCGAUUGUAACGGUUUUGAAAACCGUCGUAGUAUAAGCUACCGAGGGUUCGAAUCCCUCCCUUUCCG
Molecule: transfer RNA, 85 nt
Filed under: Tetraselmis suecica
Lineage: Eukaryota; Viridiplantae; Chlorophyta; Chlorodendrophyceae; Chlorodendrales; Chlorodendraceae
Description: tRNA-Ser
Rfam family: tRNA
About the family: Transfer RNA (tRNA) molecules are approximately 80 nucleotides in length.
Source: RNAcentral